Molecule: ribosomal RNA, 492 nt
Filed under: uncultured bacterium
Lineage: Bacteria
Description: partial 16S ribosomal RNA
Rfam family: Bacterial small subunit ribosomal RNA
Source: RNAcentral
AGUGAACGCUGGCGGUGGGCUUAACACAUGCAAGUCGAACGGAAGCGCCCUACAUGUUUGCUCUUCCGGGGGGGCGAUGGGGUGAGGAAGAGGAAAGUAUCGUACCCUACUUUUUGGUGGGGGUUCAGGAAGGGAAGCUUACUAUAGUACCGCAUCCCCCCUAGGGUGGAAGGCGGGGGAAAUUCUCGCCUUGCGGGGUUGAACGCGCGGCUGUCGGGUUUGCUGGUUGGCGGGGUAAAGGCCUACCCAGGGGAGGAUCCGUAGCUGGACUGAGAGGAUGGUCAGCCACACGGGAAGUGAGACACGGUCCAGACUCCUACGGGAGGCAGCAGUGGGGAAUAGUGGACAAUGGGCGCAAGCCUGAUCCAGCCAUACCGCGUGGGUGAAGAAGGCCUUCGGGUUGUAAAGCCCUUUUGUUGGGAAAGAAAAGCAUCAGGUUAAUACCCCGCUGUACUGACGGUACCCAAUGAAGAAGCACCGGCUAACUUCGUG